CAACUUAAUAAUGGCCUACAUCAUUUUUGACGAGAAUGAGUUUUUGGCUGCUGUAUUUUUUGCACUAUUAGGUGCACCGGAAUAAAGUGCGUUAAGCCAAACAAAACAGUCAGAUUAGUCAAACUUUAUUGAACUCAUUCAAUAUCUCCGUGAGGCUACCUCCAACAAGCCAGAAGGGUUUUAAGUGCGCCUUAUAGUGUGAAAAAUACGGUUUAUUUAUCUCUUGAGAUGAUUUAGAGAUGAUUUAAGCCAAAAAGUCAUUUCUGUCAAAAAAUUUGUCAAAAAAAGACGUAGGCCAUUAUCCUAAUAGACGAUAUUGAAAUUCGGCGAUGACGUAAUCAAGGGAUUUUUACGACAGCUGCUAAGUGACUUUCCUUACAGAGGAGUUGUUAACACUGUAGAUAAGUGAGGUAAACCCUUAAUUUCCACCGCAUCCAGAACGGCAACGAAAAGGUCGCCGGACUCCUCAGCUGAUCACAAGAGUUCUAUUUUUUCUGGACGCCGGAGCAUGGCGGAUAAAUUCAGCACAGAUUAACCCGUGCUGGAAAGGAAGUCGGGCACAGACACAAAAUAAAUCAUCCGGCUUCUUUUCAAAAUAAAACACUCCGUGUUUCAGGAGGAUCGUAUUUCACACCAUGCAAACGGGCGGAGACGAACAAGUGAAAGGUUUUUAGACGUCAUUUCACCCCGAUGACACCAUGGAUGAGGAGAUGCUGAUUCUAGAAGUCUAGAAGUAGAUUUCCUCCUCUGGAAGGACACAAUCUACUGCUUAUAUGUCUAUGUGUCUGUCUUUAGAGAGACAACUUGUUGCACGAUUGCAUGUGAAUCUGUGGGUUCUUGUGAGUUCUCGAGAUUCCUGCUGUUCGUAAUCCGCCAUGAAAUUCACCUCACAAACAUCUGGUUUAAUAUGAUUUUUGGCUCGAGAAGGUUCUUUAGUGGGGAAGGAGAAAACCAACUUUACAUGAUCAAUUUAUGUCAAAUCAGAC
Xyrichtys novacula (pearly razorfish) is the source of this 986-nucleotide non-coding RNA. The record is from the annotation of a GenBank genome assembly. NCBI's taxonomy places the organism in Eukaryota, Metazoa, Chordata, Actinopteri, Labriformes, Labridae.